This 419-nucleotide ribosomal RNA is filed under the name bacterium. RNAcentral's name for it is "partial 16S ribosomal RNA". It matches the Rfam family "Bacterial small subunit ribosomal RNA", at positions 355 to 776 of the family's 1533-position model. The record is from RNAcentral.
UGGGGGAUAUUGCACAAUGGGCGAAAGCCUGAUGCAGCGACGCCGCGUGGGGGAUGAAGGCCUUCGGGUUGUAAACUUCUUUUGCUCUGAACAAGGCAUGCUAAUGGGUGUGUUGAGUGUAGGGGUUGAUUAGCGCCGGCUAACUACGUGCCAGCAGCCGCGGUAAUACGUAGGGCGCGAGCGUUGUCCGGAAUUAUUGGGCGUAAAGGGCUUGUAGGUGGCUGGUUGCGUCUGUCGUGAAAGCUCAUGGCUUUACUGUGGGUUUGCGGUGGGUACGGGCUGGCUUGAGUGCAGUAGGGGAGGCUGGAAUUCCUGGUGUAGCGGUGGAAUGCGCAGAUAUCAGGAGGAAUACCGGUGGCGAAGGCGGGUCUCUGGGCUGUUACUGACACUGAGGAGCGAAAGCAUGGGGAGCGAACAGG